UACGUAGGGUGCGAGCGUUGUCCGGAAUUAUUGGGCGUAAAGAGCUCGUAGGCGGUGUGUCGCGUCGGCCGUGAAAACCUGCAGCUUAACCGUGGGCUUGCGGUCGAUACGGGCAUCACUGGAGUUCGGCAGGGGAGACUGGAAUUCCUGGUGUAGCGGUGAAAUGCGCAGAUAUCAGGAGGAACACCGGUGGCGAAGGCGGGUCUCUGGGCCGACACUGACGCUGAGGAGCGAAAGCGUGGGGAGCGAACAGG
Molecule: ribosomal RNA, 254 nt
Filed under: uncultured bacterium
Lineage: Bacteria
Description: partial 16S ribosomal RNA
Rfam family: Bacterial small subunit ribosomal RNA
Source: RNAcentral